This 1320-nucleotide ribosomal RNA is filed under the name bacterium S22. Its description in RNAcentral is "bacterial SSU rRNA". It matches the Rfam family "Bacterial small subunit ribosomal RNA", at positions 61 to 1391 of the family's 1533-position model. The record is from RNAcentral.
GCCGAGCGGUAGAGUCUCUUCGGAGACUUGAGAGCGGCGCACGGGUGCGGAACACGUGUGCAACCUGCCUUUAUCUGGGGGAUAGCCUUUCGAAAGGAAGAUUAAUACCCCAUAAUAUAAGAAACGGCAUCGUUUUUUAUUGAAAACUCCGGUGGAUAGAGAUGGGCACGCGCAAGAUUAGAUAGUUGGUGAGGUAACGGCUCACCAAGUCUGCGAUCUUUAGGGGGCCUGAGAGGGUGAUCCCCCACACUGGUACUGAGACACGGACCAGACUCCUACGGGAGGCAGCAGUGAGGAAUAUUGGACAAUGGGUGAGAGCCUGAUCCAGCCAUCCCGCGUGAAGGACGACGGCCCUAUGGGUUGUAAACUUCUUUUGUAUAGGGAUAAACCUACCCUCGUGAGGGUAGCUGAAGGUACUAUACGAAUAAGCACCGGCUAACUCCGUGCCAGCAGCCGCGGUAAUACGGAGGGUGCAAGCGUUAUCCGGAUUUAUUGGGUUUAAAGGGUCCGUAGGCGGAUCUGUAAGUCAGUGGUGAAAUCUCACAGCUUAACUGUGAAACUGCCAUUGAUACUGCAGGUCUUGAGUGUUGUUGAAGUAGCUGGAAUAAGUAGUGUAGCGGUGAAAUGCAUAGAUAUUACUUAGAACACCAAUUGCGAAGGCAGGUUACUAAGCAACAACUGACGCUGAUGGACGAAAGCGUGGGGAGCGAACAGGAUUAGAUACCCUGGUAGUCCACGCCGUAACGAUGCUAACUCGUUUUUGGGAUUUCGGAUUCAGAGACUAAGCGAAAGUGAUAAGUUAGCCACCUGGGGGAGUACGACGCAGUUUGAAACUCAAAGGAUUUGACGGGGGCCCGCACAAGCGGUGGAUUAUGUGGUUUAAUUCGAUGAUACGCGAGGAACCUUACCAAGGCUUAAAUGGGAAUUGAUCGGUUUAGAAAUAGACCUUCCUUCGGGCAAUUUUCAAGGUGCUGUAUGGUUGUCGUCAGCUCGUGCCGUGAGGUGUUAGGUUAAGUCCUGCAACGAGCGCAACCCCCCUCACUAGUUGCCAUCAUUAAGUUGGGGACUCUAGUGAGACGGCCUACGCAAGUAGAGAGGAAGGUGGGGAAGACGUCAAAUCAUCACGGCCCUUACGCCUUGGGCCACACACGUAAUACAAUGGCCGGUACAGAGGGCAGCUACACUGCGAAGUGAUGCAAAUCUCGAAAGCCGGUCUCAGUUCGGAUUGGAGUCUGCAACUCGACUCUUUGAAGCUGGAAUCGCUAGUAAUCGCGCAUCAGCCAUGGCGCGGUGAAUACGUUCCCGGGCCUUGUACACACC